ACGCGACUUCCUGCGGGAAACAUGGCGGCAGUGAGCGGAGUCCGCUGGCUGACCCGAGCGCUGGUCUCCGCCGGGAACCCUGGGGCAUGGAGAGGUCUGAGUACCUCGGCCGCGGCGCACGCUGCAUCGCGGAGCCAGGCCGAGGACGUGAGGGUGGAGGGCUCCUUUCCCGUGACCAUGCUUCCGGGAGACGGUGUGGGGCCUGAGCUGAUGCACGCCGUCAAGGAGGUGUUCAAGGCUGCCGCUGUCCCAGUGGAGUUCCAGGAGCACCACCUGAGUGAGGUGCAGAAUAUGGCAUCUGAGGAGAAGCUGGAGCAGGUGCUGAGUUCCAUGAAGGAGAACAAAGUGGCCAUCAUUGGAAAGAUUCAUACCCCGAUGGAGUAUAAGGGGGAGCUAGCCUCCUAUGAUAUGCGGCUGAGGUAGGUGGUCUGGGUGGAGUGAAUGGUUGAGAGGUGCCAGGGCACCAGGAGCAGAGCUGAUGGCCCUGCCCACCCUCAGGCGUAAGUUGGACUUAUUUGCCAACGUAGUCCAUGUGAAGUCACUUCCUGGGUAUAUGACUCGGCACAACAAUCUAGACCUGGUGAUCAUUCGAGAGCAGACAGAAGGGGAGUACAGCUCUCUGGAACAUGAGGUGAGGCCCCAGAAACUGGGGGAGGGCAAGGAUGAAGAUGGGAGAGAGAUGGAGCUCCUUGUUUCCCUUCCCAGUGUCACCUAGCUGCUGCUCUCUUCUUACCCAGAGUGCAAGGGGUGUGAUUGAGUGUUUGAAGAUUGUCACACGAGCCAAGUCUCAGCGGAUUGCAAAGUUCGCCUUUGACUAUGCCAC
Molecule: small RNA, 823 nt
Filed under: Pongo abelii (Sumatran orangutan)
Lineage: Eukaryota; Metazoa; Chordata; Mammalia; Primates; Hominidae
Description: retained intron
Source: RNAcentral